GUGGGGAAUUUUGGACAAUGGGCGCAAGCCUGAUCCAGCCAUUCCGCGUGCAGGAUGAAGGCCUUCGGGUUGUAAACUGCUUUUGUACGGAACGAAAAGGUUCUCUCUAAUACAGGGGGCUGAUGACGGUACCGUAAGAAUAAGCACCGGCUAACUACGUGCCAGCUGCCGCGGUAAUACGUAGGGUGCAAGCGUUAAUCGGAAUUACUGGGCGUAAAGCGUGCGCAGGCGGUGAUGUAAGACAGAUGUGAAAUCCCCGGGCUCAACCUGGGAACUGCAUUUGUGACUGCAAGGCUGGAGUGCGGCAGAGGGGGAUGGAAUUCCGCGUGUAGCAGUGAAAUGCGUAGAUAUGCGGAGGAACACCGAUGGCGAAGGCAAUCCCCUGGGCCUGCACUGACGCUCAUGCACGAAAGCGUGGGGAGCAAACAGGAUUAGAUACCCGUGUAGUCC
Molecule: ribosomal RNA, 450 nt
Filed under: uncultured bacterium
Lineage: Bacteria
Description: partial 16S ribosomal RNA
Rfam family: Bacterial small subunit ribosomal RNA
Source: RNAcentral